RNAcentral lists this transfer-messenger RNA (351 nucleotides) under Acidobacteriota. RNAcentral describes it as "WVWW01 sp011773795 X1 Standard tmRNA". It matches the Rfam family "transfer-messenger RNA". From Rfam's summary of the family: Bacterial tmRNA, also known as 10Sa RNA or SsrA, is named for its dual tRNA and mRNA-like properties. Its role is to liberate the mRNA from a stalled ribosome. To accomplish this part of the tmRNA is used as a reading frame that ends in a translation stop signal. Lineage: Bacteria; Pseudomonadati. The record is from RNAcentral. RNAcentral also lists the same sequence under 2 other names.
GGGGGCGAACUGGCUUCGACGGGAAGGCAGAGGCGUCAGUAGCACGUCGAGGGCCAUCUCCUCGUUAAUCCGGUGGAAAAUAAUAGUCGCCAAUAACGACUACGCACUCGCGGCUUAAUUAGACCGUGACGUCUUACAGGUGGCUUGCCCGAGGCGAUUUGUAAGGCGACGUUAAUUCGGGCUGGUGGAACCGGUACGCCCGUAACGGACCCACGAGAUUUAACGGGCUGGCUACCCGCUGGUUUGCCGUUCAGCAGGCGAGUAGUGAGAUAAACACCGAGUCGGCUAAACGUGUAGAAGCUGGCGUACGAACCUUUUCGGACGCGGGUUCGAUUCCCGCCGCCUCCACCA